UCUUCCAAGGAGCGUUGCAGUCGGCCACAUGGCCGGUCAGGCUUGGAUGACCCCAACGACGCUCACCUGAU
RNAcentral lists this non-coding RNA (71 nucleotides) under Rhodoferax ferrireducens. Its description in RNAcentral is "SAH sequence". It matches the Rfam family "SAH (S-adenosyl-L-homocysteine) riboswitch aptamer". The record is from RNAcentral. RNAcentral also lists the same sequence under 2 other names. Lineage: Bacteria; Pseudomonadati; Pseudomonadota; Betaproteobacteria; Burkholderiales; Comamonadaceae.